CAAGUGGAGUACUCCUUCUAAGCUAAAUAUCACCACGAGACCGAUAGCGAACAAGUACCGUGAGGGAAAGUUGAAAAGCACUCUGAAUAGAGAGUCAAAAAGUACGUGAAACUGCCUAGGGCUCAAGCCCGUUGAACUCGAUUAUCCGAGCGGGGACAUUCACCUGCGGUUGGCCGGGUCUGCCGGCACGCUGCAGGGCACUUGUCUACCGCGUCGCAAACGGACAUUGCGAUCCAUUACGAAACAGCUUUGGCGCGGUCGCAAGACGCGCAAGGUCGCCCGACAGUUGCCCCUUGGUGCUGGUUGCUUGCCCCACAGUAGCGACGCUCAGUUUCUGAAGGCCUGUGCCGCGAGGUGGGGCUUACUGCACGUGGUGUUUGCAGUCGGGCGCGUGAUGGAUUUCCGCGUACACCGUCGGCCUUCCCGUAUGGGGCCCGACGGACUGUCGAUCGGCAAUGAUAAAAUCGAGGUACCUCCGGGACCCGUCUUGAAACACGGACAGGAAAAUUCAACA
RNAcentral lists this ribosomal RNA (514 nucleotides) under Aedes greenii. RNAcentral's name for it is "eukaryotic LSU rRNA". It matches the Rfam family "Eukaryotic large subunit ribosomal RNA", at positions 289 to 680 of the family's 3401-position model. The record is from RNAcentral. Lineage: Eukaryota; Metazoa; Arthropoda; Insecta; Diptera; Culicidae.